RNAcentral lists this ribosomal RNA (468 nucleotides) under uncultured bacterium. RNAcentral describes it as "partial 16S ribosomal RNA". It matches the Rfam family "Bacterial small subunit ribosomal RNA", at positions 28 to 507 of the family's 1533-position model. The record is from RNAcentral.
GACGAACGCUGGCGGCGUGCUUAAUACAUGCAAGUCGAACGAAAAGGCCCGGCGUUUGUUGGGUGCUCGUGUGGCGAACGGGUGAGUAACACGUGAGUAAACUGCCCUUAACUUUGGGGUAAAAUUAGGAAACUGGGGCUAAUACCGGGUAGGAUCUACUGCUGCAUGGUGGGGGUUGGAAAGUUUCGGCGGUUCGGGAUGGACUCGCGGGUUAUGCGCUUGUUUGUGGGGUAGGGGCUUACCAAGGCUUUGACGGGUAGCCGGCCUGGGAGGGUGAACGGCGACAUUGGGACUGCGAGAGGGACCAGACGCCUACGGGAGGCAGCAGGCGGGAAUAUUGCACAACGGGCGGAAGCGUGAGGCAGCAACGCCGCGUGCGGGAUGAUGGCCUUCGGGUUGUAAACCGCUUUCGCCUGUGACGAAGCGUGAGUGACGGUAAUGGGUAAAGAAGCACCGGCUAACUACGUG